AGAAAAGGGAGAUGUUCUACCUUGUCUUUCAGUUCCUUUUGAAGUUAAACAUAAAUUAAAAGAACACUUGAAUCAAGUUAGUGGUAGUAGAAAAUGAGGAACUAAUCAAAUUCGAAGGAAAGAAGAUUUAGAUGAGGAAAAUGUUACACAACUUGAAGGAAAUGUGAAUCCACCAAUACCAACUAAAGCCAAGGGUAAGACAAACACUUUGGGCUUUGCUCCAAGAACUACGGUAGGAGCUAAACCCUCAAUCAGAAUGGGC
RNAcentral lists this long non-coding RNA (262 nucleotides) under Lupinus angustifolius (narrow-leaved blue lupine). RNAcentral's name for it is "long non-coding RNA (LANG_LNC001264)". The record is from RNAcentral. Lineage: Eukaryota; Viridiplantae; Streptophyta; Magnoliopsida; Fabales; Fabaceae.